GGAGGCAGAAGUCAAAGCAACAUCAAUGCUCCAAUUCAAAGGCAAAAAGGAAUGUGACAGAGCAUUUUAAUAUUAAUGGCAGACUUGGAAUGGAGAUGUAUGACUGGGCAUGGCUUGUGCACAGGCAAAGCUGGUUCAAAAAACCCCAGAGGUAAGCAAGCACAAACGUGACUCUCCCAUCUCUGUCUUCAGAUUUGGAAUAAUCAAGUUAAUUACUGACAUUCUUUAUAACACUUGGUAUUUUCAGCCUAAAGACAUUCUGACCUCGAAGGCUCUGAACACACAAUGACAGUGGAGAGGCUGAUCCAUUCUCAGGUAG
This is a long non-coding RNA of Melozone crissalis (California towhee), 319 nucleotides long. RefSeq lists it as uncharacterized. The record is from RefSeq and is a predicted model, not a curated record. The transcript is spliced from 3 exons. NCBI's taxonomy places the organism in Eukaryota, Metazoa, Chordata, Aves, Passeriformes, Passerellidae.